RNAcentral lists this ribosomal RNA (161 nucleotides) under uncultured bacterium. RNAcentral's name for it is "partial 16S ribosomal RNA". It matches the Rfam family "Bacterial small subunit ribosomal RNA", at positions 338 to 516 of the family's 1533-position model. The record is from RNAcentral.
CCUACGGGAGGCAGCAGUGAGGAAUCUUCCACAAUGGGCGAAAGCCUGAUGGAGCAACGCCGCGUGCAGGAUGAAGGCCUUCGGGUUGUAAACUGCUUUUAUGAUUGAGGAAUUUGACAGUAGAUCAUGAAUAAGGAUCGGCUAACUACGUGCCAGCAGCC